CCGAAUGGGGAAACCCAGUGUGUUUCGACACACUAUCAUUAACUGAAUCCAUAGGUUAAUGAGGCGAACCGGGGGAACUGAAACAUCUAAGUACCCCGAGGAAAAGAAAUCAACCGAGAUUCCCCCAGUAGCGGCGAGCGAACGGGGAGCAGCCCAGAGCCUGAAUCAGUAUGUGUGUUAGUGGAAGCGUCUGGAAAGGCGCGCGAUACAGGGUGACAGCCCCGUACACAAAAAUGCACAUGCUGUGAGCUCGAUGAGUAGGGCGGGACACGUGGUAUCCUGUCUGAAUAUGGGGGGACCAUCCUCCAAGGCUAAAUACUCCUGACUGACCGAUAGUGAACCAGUACCGUGAGGGAAAGGCGAAAAGAACCCCGGCGAGGGGAGUGAAAAAGAACCUGAAACCGUGUACGUACAAGCAGUGGGAGCACGCUUAGGCGUGUGACUGCGUACCUUUUGUAUAAUGGGUCAGCGACUUAUAUUCUGUAGCAAGGUUAACCGAAUAGGGGAGCCGAAGGGAAACCGAGUCUUAACUGGGCGUUAAGUUGCAGGGUAUAGACCCGAAACCCGGUGAUCUAGCCAUGGGCAGGUUGAAGGUUGGGUAACACUAACUGGAGGACCGAACCGACUAAUGUUGAAAAAUUAGCGGAUGACUUGUGGCUGGGGGUGAAAGGCCAAUCAAACCGGGAGAUAGCUGGUUCUCCCCGAAAGCUAUUUAGGUAGCGCCUCGUGAAUUCAUCUCCGGGGGUAGAGCACUGUUUCGGCAAGGGGGUCAUCCCGACUUACCAACCCGAUGCAAACUGCGAAUACCGGAGAAUGUUAUCACGGGAGACACACGGCGGGUGCUAACGUCCGUCGUGAAGAGGGAAACAACCCAGACCGCCAGCUAAGGUCCCAAAGUCAUGGUUAAGUGGGAAACGAUGUGGGAAGGCCCAGACAGCCAGGAUGUUGGCUUAGAAGCAGCCAUCAUUUAAAGAAAGCGUAAUAGCUCACUGGUCGAGUCGGCCUGCGCGGAAGAUGUAACGGGGCUAAACCAUGCAC
This 1038-nucleotide ribosomal RNA is filed under the name Escherichia coli. RNAcentral describes it as "partial 23S ribosomal RNA". It matches the Rfam family "Bacterial large subunit ribosomal RNA", at positions 114 to 1194 of the family's 2925-position model. The record is from RNAcentral. Lineage: Bacteria; Pseudomonadati; Pseudomonadota; Gammaproteobacteria; Enterobacterales; Enterobacteriaceae.